Molecule: long non-coding RNA, 589 nt
Filed under: Pan troglodytes (chimpanzee)
Lineage: Eukaryota; Metazoa; Chordata; Mammalia; Primates; Hominidae
Description: lincRNA
Source: RNAcentral
CUUAUUGGGCUCCUGUCUGCAGGAUUUACGCGCACGUUGGAACCGAAGAGAGCUCUGUUGUUGCAAUGUUCAGCCCACAAGACCUUACUGGUGAAGGAAUGGGACAAGACCCAUCUUUAUGCAAAGCCAGCGUUACAGUAAUGUCCCAGCAUCUCAUAAUCUAUCCUGGGGAAUUCAGCUGCCUCCCAGGGUGAAUACAGGUAUUCCUGAUGACAGUCUGCCUUCUAUCUUACAGAGCAGCUUGUUGCUAUAUACCAUUGAAAAGCCUUCAGAGCUGAGAGGUACUACUAACCAAUAACCUGCUUGGCUCAAAGGGCCAGCACCUUCUCUCUAAAGCCCAAGAGGAGUUUGAGGAAAACUAGGUGUCUGUGUUCACUCCAGGCUGAAGUUACAGGUCUGAGCAAAUAAGGUGUAUAAAAAAUGGAAUCUGUCUUGGAGGACAUCGGAAGAUACAAGGGCUUGGUUUUGUUACCCAGGCUGGUUUCAAGGCCAUAGCUUUAAGAGAUCCUCUCACCACAGAUUUCCAAAGUGCUGGGAUUGCAGGUGUGAUUCAUGGCACCCAGACUUUGCUGCCUUUCUUACAUAAUCC